AUGAGCGACGGUGGCGACUCCGUCUCCAGCGAUGACUGCAUCGACGACUGCCUUGAGGCCUGCUGCUGCGACUGCUUCUGGGAUGACAUCUGCUUCCGCAUCGUCUGUGCUCUCGUGAUCGUCGCCGUCCUCGCCACCGUGGUCACCCUGCUCGUCAUCGCCUUCGUCCCCCGCCCUUUCGGCGUCAGCGUGGAGGACGCGGCCCUCGCCCGCCUCGCCCUCGCCGACAAGAACGCCACGGCCACCGCGCUCGCCUACAACAUCUCCAUCGCCGUCGGCGUUCACAACGAGAACUGGAUAAUGCGCGCCAAGCACACCGCGCGGCUGGACGCGGAUCUGCUGUUCGCCAGAGCGCGCUUCGCCCGUGUCGGACUGGCGACCGCAGGGGCCGUGGUCCGGCCCCGGCGCAGGGAAGUGUACCACGCCACGGCAGCGGCCGACAGCGCAAGCGUCGCUCUGGGGAGCUCAGGCAUGGCCGACUUCCUCAAGCAGUCCGAAGCGGGGAAGUUCCAGCUCGAGGUCAAGCUUGUCGGCGAGGUCAUGUACCGGCCACACCACAAGAAGCACAGGCUGGACGCGAUCUGCCGGCUAGAAUUGGCUCUGUCAACGGCAACCUCGCCGGCGUUGUUCAAGAAGGUAAAGUGCGAUGUUCAGUAA
RNAcentral lists this ribosomal RNA (657 nucleotides) under Triticum aestivum (bread wheat). Its description in RNAcentral is "partial small subunit ribosomal RNA". The record is from RNAcentral. Lineage: Eukaryota; Viridiplantae; Streptophyta; Magnoliopsida; Poales; Poaceae.